UUCAUCCAAAAAACUUUUAUUGUGUGCAGGUAUACGGUGUUAGGUGUAUUAUGCAAAGAGGAAUCAGAAAAGUUGCCAUUGUUAAUAGUUAAUAGAGAGUUAAUAGUCUAACAGAAGACAUAAGUGCAUAAAUAAUAACACACAAUUUAUAAAAUGAUAGACAUCUCUAGAAAGGAACAGAAAAAACAAUUUCUACUUCAAGUUGGUCGUCCAUUUUUGGAGAGCCAGUUAAGAUGCUACCCCUCAGUCAGAUUGCUUGUGUAAGUAAGAUUAAGGGCAAGGCAGACAGCGAUUUAAUACUUUUUGUUUUUGUGUAUGUGAGAAUUUUUAUGAUUAUAAAAGUAAUGCAUGAGAAAAUGGGCAAGGGACUUGAACAGACAUUCACAGAAGGCUAGUCAACAUAUGCAAAGGGGCUUCAGCUCAUUAGAAAACAGGGAAAUGCAACUAACCAUCCUGAGAAACCACUACACACCCACCCAAAAGGGCUAAGAUGAUACCACGUGUUCACCGAAAUGGGCAACAAUGAGAACUCUCAUAAGCCGCUGGACAUAGAUAUUCUACUUCUAGGUUCUACCCCAGAAGAAAUGUGUGCACUUGUGAAUGAAAAGACAUGGAAAAAGAAUGUUCAUAGCAGCGUUAUUCAUCACAGCAGCGCUGUCCGUCAACAGUAAAGCAGGUAGAUACAUUUUGGAAGAUUCAUAACUGUAAAUACUAUGGUAUUUUUCUGUACAGUCCUUUUUGUGCAUAUGUAAUAUUAAAGAUACGCCCUCUGUGCCCUUCCAUUAAAAAUGUAAUAACACAA
Molecule: long non-coding RNA, 802 nt
Organism: Orcinus orca (killer whale)
Lineage: Eukaryota; Metazoa; Chordata; Mammalia; Artiodactyla; Delphinidae
Exons: 2
Source: RefSeq, a predicted model, not a curated record